This is a long non-coding RNA of Coregonus clupeaformis (lake whitefish), 180 nucleotides long. RefSeq lists it as uncharacterized. The transcript has 3 exons. NCBI's taxonomy places the organism in Eukaryota, Metazoa, Chordata, Actinopteri, Salmoniformes, Salmonidae. The record is from RefSeq and is a predicted model, not a curated record.
GGCCAGCUCACUGGUACUGCUGAACAACUCCUCAUCGAACUGGAUGUAGGUGAUGACUCCAAUGCUCCUGUGAGAAGAAGAGAACACAAGGUUCAUCUGCUGAGACGCCUCACUUCCUGUCUGCUGUACUUGUAGUGAGGUGUCCCUUGUUUUCCUGAUUGGUGGUCGUUGGGGUGUCCC